This 69-nucleotide transfer RNA is filed under the name marine eukaryotic metagenome. It matches the Rfam family "tRNA". From Rfam's summary of the family: Transfer RNA (tRNA) molecules are approximately 80 nucleotides in length. Their secondary structure includes four short double-helical elements and three loops (D, anti-codon, and T loops). Further hydrogen bonds mediate the characteristic L-shaped molecular structure. tRNAs have two regions of fundamental functional importance: the anti-codon, which is responsible for specific mRNA codon recognition, and the 3' end, to which the tRNAs corresponding amino acid is attached (by aminoacyl-tRNA synthetases). tRNAs cope with the degeneracy of the genetic code in two manners: having more than one tRNA (with a specific anti-codon) for a particular amino acid; and 'wobble' base-pairing, i.e. permitting non-standard base-pairing at the 3rd anti-codon position. The record is from RNAcentral.
CGGAAGUGGCUCAGUGGUAGAGCAUCGCCUUGCCAAGGCGAGGGUCGCGGGUUCAAAUCCCGUCUUCCG